UACCUACAAGCAAGCAGGUGUUCUUUUCAGAAGCCAGAAGCUGAUAACCUGGGCUUUCUGAUCUAACCCCAGCCCAAAUUCUUUGCAAUGGAGGAAUGGGGAGGAGAUUCUUCCUACUGAGAAGUGGGUGCCAACUCUCCCUUUCAAAUUUGUUCAUCAACAAACUAAAGGGGAUGCCAGAAAUGUCUGGAGCAAUGGAAGAACCACUGGAAUAAUGCUCCUGCCUGAUUGCAUCUACUUAACCCACUCUCCAAGAGCUAGAAUCAGAUUUCAACCGUAUGGAAUCAUCUACAAUGCAGCAGAUGGGUUUACAAGUCUCUUGGUCUCUUCGUGAAGAAGGAGUAGCAAUCGUGUCCCAAGUCCUUGAGGACUUCACAGGGCAUUCCAAUGUCCUGAGAAUAUACCUGCCUAAGGCACUGUGGUGGGAUUCUGCCAUUCGAGAAUCUCAGACUAAGAUCAUCUGUUUCAAUAAGCAUUGAUCAAGCACCCACAUUGCAGCUGGCACUCCGCUUGAUGGUGAGAUGAUCGUCAAGACCAGUUCCUUAUUUUACAGGGAAGGCCGUCAAGGUUCAAAGUGGGAAUUUCCCAAGGUCAGAGACAGAGUGGCAGAGCCAGUCCAUGCACUCUGGUCUCCUGUCUCCCGUUCCAGUGCUCAUUCGUGACACUGCUGCUGUCUCCCAACACUUCAUCCCACGAGAAUACUCUUGAGAAUAUUGUUCUUGGCUGUUCCAAAUAGGAAGAUCAUCUGUCCAUU
Molecule: long non-coding RNA, 754 nt
Filed under: Pongo abelii (Sumatran orangutan)
Lineage: Eukaryota; Metazoa; Chordata; Mammalia; Primates; Hominidae
Description: lincRNA
Source: RNAcentral